UAGGGAAUCUUCCGCAAUGGACGCAAGUCUGACGGAGCAACGCCGCGUGAGUGAAGAAGGAUUUCGGUUCGUAAAACUCUGUUGUUAGAGAAGAACAGCGCAUAGAGUAACUGUUAUGCGUGUGACGGUAUCUAACCAGAAAGCCACGGCUAACUACGUGCCAGCAGCCGCGGUAAUACGUAGGUGGCAAGCGUUGUCCGGAUUUAUUGGGCGUAAAGCGAGCGCAGGCGGUCAAUUAAGUCUGAUGUGAAAGCCCCCGGCUCAACCGGGGAGGGUCAUUGGAAACUGGUUGACUUGAGUGCAGAAGAGGAGGGUGGAAUUCCAUGUGUAGCGGUGAAAUGCGUAGAUAUAUGGAGGAACACCAGUGGCGAAGGCGACUCUCUGGUCUGUAACUGACGCUGAGGUUCGAAAGCGUGGGUAGCAAACAGG
This 429-nucleotide ribosomal RNA is filed under the name Bacteroidota bacterium. Its description in RNAcentral is "Bacteroidetes bacterium partial 16S ribosomal RNA". It matches the Rfam family "Bacterial small subunit ribosomal RNA", at positions 355 to 776 of the family's 1533-position model. The record is from RNAcentral. Lineage: Bacteria; Pseudomonadati; Bacteroidota.